RNAcentral lists this long non-coding RNA (1386 nucleotides) under Meleagris gallopavo (turkey). Its description in RNAcentral is "lncRNA (ENSMGAG00000022621.1)". Lineage: Eukaryota; Metazoa; Chordata; Aves; Galliformes; Phasianidae. The record is from RNAcentral.
GGAAGUGGAAGAUAUUGUUCAGGUGCAAGUAAAAUAUAUUUAAGUAUCGGACUCACAAGUGUAGAAUCAAAAGAAAGUGACAACAAAGCCUUAUCUCAAAUACACUUUUCAACAACUACUUUUCUUCACUCUGAAGGAGCCGUGAACUUUCUCACUGUGCAACAGCCCAAGGUGAAGCAGAGCAGACGGGAGGGACGUGGCUGGGUGCUUUACUCUUCCCCAGCAGAGGAAGGCAGCAUCUCGCCCCAAACCACAGCCUCUGGAUCUUGUCUUACAGCGUUAGUGUUGAUGAAUGGAAAAAGAAAAGAGGAUAUUAAGUACUGGACUUGGACCCAAUUUUCAUUUGAAUGUACCAUUACUGUCACUGGACUUCAAAAAAGCAUUCUUCUAUUUCAGAUGAACCUAUGGCUUGGAUUAUCAAAUGCCAGUGACUCCAAUGAAAAGGAACUACGUUUAGCAUUUUCUCAGGUGCCACCCAGCACUCAAAACAGUCAGAUGUGACCUGGAGAACAAUCAAGUACAGCCACAAGUCAACCCACCGAUCUGACCAUACACCAUCUUUGAUUGUCUUCUACAAGAAUGAAGCUCUCACAUGAAAUGGCAUUUGGGGAAACAUAUAUACUUCUCAACCUGAAAGAUGACCAAGGGCUCCUUCCUUCACAUGUUUUGUACGCGUAACGAACAAACUACUAUAUUUGGGUCCCCUGUGAUGAGAUGUGGCUCUCCCAUGAAAUCCCAAGUGAGAUGGAGAGCCUCAGAAUCACCUUCCUCUCCCCAGUUCAUAUUUAUCUAUCUUCUGGAAUACAAAUUCUGAAGCAAAACUGAGUCUUCCCAAGCCAGCAAAAGCUUCCUAAACGUUCUUUUCCACCCUCAAGCCCGCAAGCCAUUUCUCACAAGCCAUCUGCCCUAACUUUGGCAUGAGGACAACCUGGUUAGAUGAAGGUUGGCAGCAACGUUGCCACUUAAGACAGUCCUCUCUGAAAAAGUAACUGCUCAAAAUGAAGUUUCCUUGACCACUCACAAUUCAAACAGGUUUCCUUCAACAUUUAAAUUAAAUCAUUGUUCCACAUAAAUAAAUCACAUCCAAAGAGUGAUGUAUAACUACCCCAGGACACAUUCCACCCUGUCACAGCUAUGUAAACUCAGUAAGUGAACUUAGGGAAAUGAACAAAAAUGAAGAGUUAUAAAAGACAAGCAUGACUGCCCUAUCUGGGUAGAAAUGAAGGACAGAAGAUGAGAGAUACACCUAUGUCAUACAGCCUUAAAAAGUAUUUAAUUCUUUAGCUGAUCUUUGCAAGGUAAGCACCAUUACUCCAUAGACAUCCAUAUGAAUAGUUUUACUUAUAGCAUUUGUCCCAUUAAACUCAGUGAGACCAACAAACUUCA